Molecule: transfer RNA, 109 nt
Filed under: Huiozyma naganishii CBS 8797
Lineage: Eukaryota; Fungi; Ascomycota; Saccharomycetes; Saccharomycetales; Saccharomycetaceae
Description: Kazachstania naganishii CBS 8797 tRNA
Rfam family: tRNA
About the family: Transfer RNA (tRNA) molecules are approximately 80 nucleotides in length.
Source: Rfam by way of RNAcentral
GGGCGUGUGGUCUAGUGGUAUGAUUCUCGCUUUGGGCGAUUCUUAAGCAAACUUAGGAAACAAAACUCAAACAUGUGAGAGGCCCUGGGUUCAAUUCCCAGUAUGCCCC